GAUGAACGCUGGCGGCGUGCCUAAUACAUGCAAGUCGAGCGAACAGACGAGGAGCUUGCUCCUCUGACGUUAGCGGCGGACGGGUGAGUAACACGUGGAUAACCUACCUAUAAGACUGGGAUAACUUCGGGAAACCGGAGCUAAUACCGGAUAAUAUAUUGAACCGCAUGGUUCAAUAGUGAAAGACGGUUUUGCUGUCACUUAUAGAUGGAUCCGCGCCGCAUUAGCUAGUUGGUAAGGUAACGGCUUACCAAGGCAACGAUGCGUAGCCGACCUGAGAGGAUGAUCAGCCACACUGGAACUGAGACACGGUCCAGACUCCUACGGGAGGCAGCAGUAGGGAAUCUUCCGCAAUGGGCGAAAGCUUGACGGAGCAACGCCGCGUGAGUGAUGAAGGUCUUCGGAUCGUAAAACUCUGUUAUUAGGGAAGAACAAAUGUGUAAGUAACUAUGCACGUCUUGACGGUACCUAAUCAGAAAGCCACGGCUAACUACGUG
RNAcentral lists this ribosomal RNA (497 nucleotides) under uncultured bacterium. RNAcentral describes it as "partial 16S ribosomal RNA". It matches the Rfam family "Bacterial small subunit ribosomal RNA", at positions 28 to 507 of the family's 1533-position model. The record is from RNAcentral.